RNAcentral lists this ribosomal RNA (580 nucleotides) under uncultured bacterium. RNAcentral's name for it is "partial 16S ribosomal RNA". It matches the Rfam family "Bacterial small subunit ribosomal RNA", at positions 355 to 937 of the family's 1533-position model. The record is from RNAcentral.
UGGGGAAUUUUGGACAAUGGGCGAAAGCCUGAUCCAGCAAUGCCGCGUGUGUGAAGAAGGCCUUCGGGUUGUAAAGCACUUUUGUCCGGAAAGAAAUCCUUGGCUCUAAUACAGUCGGGGGAUGACGGUACCGGAAGAAUAAGCACCGGCUAACUACGUGCCAGCAGCCGCGGUAAUACGUAGGGUGCAAGCGUUAAUCGGAAUUACUGGGCGUAAAGCGUGCGCAGGCGGUUUGCUAAGACCGAUGUGAAAUCCCCGGGCUCAACCUGGGAACUGCAUUGGUGACUGGCAGGCUAAGUAUGGCAGAGGGGGUAGAAUUCCACGUGUAGCAGUGAAAUGCGUAGAGAUGUGGAGGAAUACCGAUGGCGAAGGCAGCCCCUGGGCCAAUACUGAUGCUCAUGCACGAAAGCGUGGGAGCAAACAGGAUUAGAUACCCUGGUAGUCCACGCCCUAAACGAUGUCAACUAGUUGUUGGGGAUUCAUUUCCUUAGUAACGUAGCUAACGCGUGAAGUUGACCGCCUGGGGAGUACGGUCGCAAGAUUAAAACUUAAAUGAAUUGACGGGGUCAUAGCUGUUUCC